UUGCCUGUAGUAUAGAAUAAGUACGUAUGUUUUCCAAACAUGAGGGCUACUAAUAUUUUUGUAGCAGGUGAA
This 72-nucleotide transfer RNA is filed under the name Cucullaea labiata. RNAcentral describes it as "tRNA-Gly". The record is from RNAcentral. Lineage: Eukaryota; Metazoa; Mollusca; Bivalvia; Arcoida; Cucullaeidae.